Ochotona curzoniae (black-lipped pika) is the source of this 107-nucleotide small nuclear RNA. NCBI's taxonomy places the organism in Eukaryota, Metazoa, Chordata, Mammalia, Lagomorpha, Ochotonidae. The record is from RefSeq and is a predicted model, not a curated record.
GUGCUUACUUCAGCAGCACAUACACUAAAAGUGGAACAAUACAGAGAAGAUUAGCACGGCCCCUGCGCAAGGAUGGCAAGCAAAUUCAUGAAGUGAUCUAUAUUUUU